AUUGAACGCUGGCGGAAUGCUUUACACAUGCAAGUCGAACGGCAGCACGGGGGCAACCCUGGUGGCGAGUGGCGAACGGGUGAGUAAUACAUCGGAACGUGCCCAGUCGUGGGGGAUAACGUAGCGAAAGCUACGCUAAUACCGCAUACGAUCUCUGGAUGAAAGCGGGGGACCGCAAGGCCUCGCGCGAUUGGAGCGGCCGAUGGCAGAUUAGGUAGUUGGUGGGGUAAAGGCUCACCAAGCCGACGAUCUGUAGCUGGUCUGAGAGGACGACCAGCCACACUGGGACUGAGACACGGCCCAGACUCCUACGGGAGGCAGCAGUGGGGAAUUUUGGACAAUGGGCGAAAGCCUGAUCCAGCCAUUCCGCGUGCAGGAUGAAGGCCCUCGGGUUGUAAACUGCUUUUGUACGGAACGAAACGGUCCUGGUUAAUACCUGGGGCUAAUGACGGUACCGUAAGAAUAAGCACCGGCUAACUACGUG
RNAcentral lists this ribosomal RNA (484 nucleotides) under uncultured bacterium. RNAcentral's name for it is "bacterial SSU rRNA". It matches the Rfam family "Bacterial small subunit ribosomal RNA", at positions 30 to 507 of the family's 1533-position model. The record is from RNAcentral.